AUGAACGCUAGCGACAGGCUUAACACAUGCAAGUCGAGGGGUAACAGGGUAGCAAUACCGCUGACGACCGGCGCACGGGUGAGCAACGCGUAUGCAACCUGCCUAGUAACUGGGGGAAUAGCUCCCUGAAAGGGGAAUUAACACCGCAUAACACUAUUGAUUCGCAUGAAUUAGUAGUUAAAUGUAGCGAUACAGGUUAUAGAUGGGCAUGCGUGACAUUAGCUAGUUGGUGAGGUAACGGCUCACCAAGGCUACGAUGUCUAGGGGUUCUGAGAGGAAGGUCCCCCACACUGGUACUGAGACACGGACCAGACUCCUACGGGAGGCAGCAGUGAGGAAUAUUGGUCAAUGGGCGCAAGCCUGAACCAGCCAUGUCGCGUGCAGGAAGACUUCGCCCUAUGGGUUGUAAACUGCUUUUAUAGUAGAAGAAACACAUCUACGUGUAGAUGUCUGCCAGUAUACUAUGAAUAAGCAUCGGCUAACUCCGUGCCAGCCGCUGC
RNAcentral lists this ribosomal RNA (500 nucleotides) under uncultured bacterium. RNAcentral describes it as "bacterial SSU rRNA". It matches the Rfam family "Bacterial small subunit ribosomal RNA", at positions 29 to 518 of the family's 1533-position model. The record is from RNAcentral.